RNAcentral lists this ribosomal RNA (568 nucleotides) under Scedosporium boydii. Its description in RNAcentral is "eukaryotic LSU rRNA". It matches the Rfam family "Eukaryotic large subunit ribosomal RNA", at positions 62 to 648 of the family's 3401-position model. The record is from RNAcentral. Lineage: Eukaryota; Fungi; Ascomycota; Sordariomycetes; Microascales; Microascaceae.
AAACCAACAGGGAUUGCCUCAGUAACGGCGAGUGAAGCGGCAACAGCUCAAAUUUGAAAUCUGGCGGCCUCUGGGCCGUCCGAGUUGUAAUUUGAAGAGGAUGCUUUUGGCGAGGCGCCUUCCGAGUGCCCUGGAACGGGACGCCACAGAGGGUGAGAGCCCCGUAUGGUUGGACGCCGAGCCUCUGUAAAGCUCCUUCGACGAGUCGAGUAGUUUGGGAAUGCUGCUCAAAAUGGGAGGUAAACCCCUUCUAAAGCUAAAUACUGGCCAGAGACCGAUAGCGCACAAGUAGAGUGAUCGAAAGAUGAAAAGCACUUUGAAAAGAGAGUUAAACAGCACGUGAAAUUGUUGAAAGGGAAGCGCUUGCGACCAGACUUGUGCCCGUCGAAUCAGCCGCCGCUCGUCGGCGGCGCACUUCGGCGGGCUCAGGCCAGCAUCAGUUCGCUGCAGGGGGAGAAAGGCGAUGGGAAUGUGGCUCUUCGGAGUGUUAUAGCCCGCCGCGCAAUACCCCUCGGCGGACUGAGGACCGCGCAUCUGCAAGGAUGCUGGCGUAAUGGUCGUCAGCGAC